Molecule: ribosomal RNA, 407 nt
Filed under: uncultured bacterium
Lineage: Bacteria
Description: partial 16S ribosomal RNA
Rfam family: Bacterial small subunit ribosomal RNA
Source: RNAcentral
AUUGAACGCUGGCGGCAGGCCUAACACAUGCAAGUCGAGCGGAGCGGCGGACGGGUGAGUAAUGCCUAGGAAUCUGCCUGGUAGUGGGGGAUAACGUCCGGAAACGGGCGCUAAUACCGCAUACUAUCAGAUGAGCCUAGGUCGGAUUAGCUAGUUGGUGGGGUAAAGGCCUACCAAGGCGACGAUCCGUAACUGGUCUGAGAGGAUGAUCAGUCACACUGGAACUGAGACACGGUCCAGACUCCUACGGGAGGCAGCAGUGGGGAAUCUUGCACAAUGGGCGAAAGCCUGAUACAGCCACGCCGCGUGAGUGAAGAAGGUCUUCGGAUCGUAAAGCACUGUUAUUAGGGAGGCGGUACCAACUGAGAAAGCACCGGCUAACUACGUGCCAGCAGCCGCGGUAAUUC